Molecule: ribosomal RNA, 466 nt
Filed under: uncultured bacterium
Lineage: Bacteria
Description: bacterial SSU rRNA
Rfam family: Bacterial small subunit ribosomal RNA
Source: RNAcentral
CCUACGGGACGCACCAGUGGGGAAUAUUGCACAAUGGGCGCAAGCCUGAUGCAGCCAUGCCGCGUGUAUGAAGAAGGCCUUCGGGUUGUAAAGUACUUUCAGCGGGGAGGAAGGUGUGGAGGUUAAUAACCUCAGCAAUUGACGUUACCCGCAGAAGAAGCACCGGCUAACUCCGUGCCAGCAGCCGCGGUAAUACGGAGGGUGCAAGCGUUAAUCGGAAUUACUGAGCGUAAAGCGCACGCAGGCGGUCUGUCAAGUCGGAUGUGAAAUCCCCGGGCUCAACCUGGGAACUGCAUUCGAAACUGGCAGGCUAGAGUCUUGUAGAGGGGGGGUAGAAUUCCAGGUGUAGCGGUGAAAUGCGUAGAGAUCUGGAGGAAUACCGGUGGCGAAGGCGGCCCCCUGGACAAAGACUGACGCUCAGGUGCGAAAGCGUGGGGAGCAAACAGGAUUAGAUACCCGAGUAGUC